This 579-nucleotide ribosomal RNA is filed under the name Staphylococcus sp. Its description in RNAcentral is "bacterial SSU rRNA". It matches the Rfam family "Bacterial small subunit ribosomal RNA", at positions 352 to 923 of the family's 1533-position model. Lineage: Bacteria; Bacillati; Bacillota; Bacilli; Caryophanales; Staphylococcaceae. The record is from RNAcentral.
CAGUAGGGAUCUUCCGCAAUGGGCGAAAGCCUGACGGAGCAACGCCGCGUGAGUGAUGAAGGGUUUCGGCUCGUAAAACUCUGUUAUUAGGGAAGAACAAAUGUGUAAGUAACUGUGCACAUCUUGACGGUACCUAAUCAGAAAGCCACGGCUAACUACGUGCCAGCAGCCGCGGUAAUACGUAGGUGGCAAGCGUUAUCCGGAAUUAUUGGGCGUAAAGCGCGCGUAGGCGGUUUCUUAAGUCUGAUGUGAAAGCCCACGGCUCAACCGUGGAGGGUCAUUGGAAACUGGGAAACUUGAGUGCAGAAGAGGAAAGUGGAAUUCCAUGUGUAGCGGUGAAAUGCGCAGAGAUAUGGAGGAACACCAGUGGCGAAGGCGACUUUCUGGUCUGUAACUGACGCUGAUGUGCGAAAGCGUGGGGAUCAAACAGGAUUAGAUACCCUGGUAGUCCACGCCGUAAACGAUGAGUGCUAAGUGUUAGGGGGUUUCCGCCCCUUAGUGCUGCAGCUAACGCAUUAAGCACUCCGCCUGGGGAGUACGACCGCAAGGUUGAAACUCAAAGGAAUUGACGGGGCCCCG